UUGGCACCCUAGGUCAGGUAUACUUAUGUAGCCUUAAUUUUUUGGUUAUGACACAGUUUGGAUACAAAUAUUCGUAAUUCGUGCUUUUCUUUUGACACUUAUUUAUCAAAAAUCAGCCAAGUAGAGUUUUGUAUGUACAUCUGAAGUAUACAUCUUAAUCAGAAUUCUUACAUUCCUACUUACCAAAAAUAAAAUGAAAUCAGAAUUCUUACAUUCCAAUUUCAAUAGAUAGUAGAAUGUAUCCUGGGUUUUACACAAUAGUUUCCUUUGCAAUUUAGUUUGUAAAUAUACAUGUGAGGUGUUUUGGGAAAACUUCAAAAUGCCAUAUUGGUAUAAGAAGAAUAUAAAACCAAUGAAGAUUUAAUGCACAUAUUUCUUUUUCAAGUGAAUAGCCCUAAAGUAUAUGCUGGUUGCAAGUAUGCUUAUUAUUGAUUAAAAUCAGAGAUGUCAGCUUUGAUUGUCAUUGUUGCUAAAAUUUGAGCCUAGAUAGAGAGGAAUGAUUGAUAUUUUUUAUUCUUUAUAAUAAUUAUAUGUUUUCCUGCUCGACUCCUUAUGUUGGAAGAUGUUUAGUUAAAUUACCGUGUUUGAUGAAUGGCAAAGCAUGCAGCAAACAAGAACCGAUUCAACAUUCAAACACAAGCCAUUUAAAUUUGGAUUUGGGAUUCAAGAGCCAUAAUGAAAACCAUGAAUCAGAUGGUGGAAACAAGGAGGCCGAGUUGGGUAGACGGAGGUUAGGUUGGUUUCGAACGUAGCUUGAUAUACUUCAACAUUAUUCCAGACACAGAAAACAGAAGGAUGAAAGAAAUGACUUGUCUUUAAAUUGCUGAUUCUAAUGUUAUUGUUAUGCUUUUGAUUAUUUGAUUUUUUGCUGGAAAUAUCAAUGUCAAUGUCAAAUUGCUUUCUUUUGGAUGUUUGUGAUGAUAUAUUAGAAUAAUUGCUGAUAUUAAUCAGUGGAUAUGAAUGAAAGUUGUUAUGGUGUUUGGCUC
Molecule: non-coding RNA, 986 nt
Organism: Camellia sinensis
Lineage: Eukaryota; Viridiplantae; Streptophyta; Magnoliopsida; Ericales; Theaceae
Source: RefSeq, a predicted model, not a curated record